Molecule: long non-coding RNA, 461 nt
Organism: Haemorhous mexicanus (house finch)
Lineage: Eukaryota; Metazoa; Chordata; Aves; Passeriformes; Fringillidae
Exons: 3
Source: RefSeq, a predicted model, not a curated record
GCUGGGCUGAUCCUGUCCUUUCCCCCAGCCCUGGGAAAGGGAGCUCUUAUAAGGGUCUCUGGAAGUUCUUUGCCUUCAGUUUCAUGCAAAUUGUAAUUAUUUCAGUGAAGUUUUGCUGUUUGUGCCUCGGGUGCAGUGCUGUCUCCUGGCUGGCUCUGCAGGUUCUGCAGUGGCACAGGAUGAAAUGGAGCUGAAUAUGGAGGCAGCUGAGAAGAAGAAAAUCACUUGCUUAUGAAAUGGUCUCCCACACCCUGGAAUGGCUCCAGUGCCCAAGGAAGAGCUGAGUGGAGCCAGGGAAAACACUGAGGACCAUUUUGAGCCAACUGGAAAUUUCCAAGCUCUCACAUGGGGUCAAAACCUCUGGAAUGUUCCCGCUCCUCCUCUGUAAGACUCUGAGAGUCCAUGUCAUUCAACAGCCCAGGAUGGAACAGCCCAUUUGGAGGAUGACACCUCCCCCAGAG